RNAcentral lists this ribosomal RNA (774 nucleotides) under uncultured Neocallimastigales. RNAcentral's name for it is "partial large subunit ribosomal RNA". It matches the Rfam family "Eukaryotic large subunit ribosomal RNA", at positions 20 to 644 of the family's 3401-position model. The record is from RNAcentral. Lineage: Eukaryota; Fungi; Neocallimastigomycota; Neocallimastigomycetes; Neocallimastigales.
ACUAGAGUAGCACUCGCAUAUCAAUAAGCGGAGGAAAAGAAACUAACAAGGAUUCCCUUAGUAACGGCGAGUGAAGCGGGAAGAGCUCAAAUUUGAAAUCUUCAAGGUUUUACCUUGACGAAUUGUAGUUUAAAGAAGUGUUUUCUGUUGAAGUUUUGGUAAAAGUUCUUUGGAAUAGGACAUCAUAGAGGGUGAGAAUCCCGCAUUUGACCAUUAUUUUCAGCUGUGUGAUACACUUUCAAAGAGUCGGAUUGUUUGGGAAUGCAGUCCAAAAUGGGUGGUAAAUUUCAUCUAAAGCUAAAUAUUGGCGAGAGACCGGUAGCGAACAAGUACCGUGAAGGAAAGAUGAAAAGAACUUUGAAAAGAGAGUUAAACAGUACGUGAAAUUGUCAAAAGGGAAGCGUUUGACACCAGUGUUGUUUUUCCGAAAAUCAAUUACGAAUGUUUUGUUCUUAAGGAGUUAUGACUUCAUCGGCUUGCUUCUCUCUUUAUGAAACUUUCUUAAUGCACUUUUCGGUUAACAAGUCAACAUCAAUUUCUUUUGUUGUAAAAGGGUAUGAGGAAGGUGGCUUUCUUUUCGGAGAAAGUGUUUAUAGCCUUGUACCUCUGCAAUCGGAGAGAUUGAGGUCUGCAGCGUAGAUCCUUCGGGGUUAGAUGCAUUUGUGCUAAGUUAUAGCUUUUCAUAGACAACUUGUUGACUAUUAAUCAAUCUUGUAACUUACUCGCUUAUGCUAUUUUACCUACGCUUAGGAUGUUGAUAGUCACAGCGUGUAC